RNAcentral lists this ribosomal RNA (603 nucleotides) under uncultured beta proteobacterium. Its description in RNAcentral is "bacterial SSU rRNA". It matches the Rfam family "Bacterial small subunit ribosomal RNA", at positions 34 to 635 of the family's 1533-position model. The record is from RNAcentral. Lineage: Bacteria; Pseudomonadati; Pseudomonadota; Betaproteobacteria.
CACCUGGCGGCUGCUUACACAUGCAGUCGAACGGCAGCACGGGAGCAUCCUGGUGGCGAGUGGCGAACGGGUGAGUAAUAUAUCGGAACGUGCCCAGUCGUGGGGGAUAACGCAGCGAAAGCUGUGCUAAUACCGCAUACGAUCUACGGAUGAAAGCGGGGGAUCGCAAGACCUCGCGCGAUUGGAGCGGCCGAUAUCAGAUUAGCUAGUUGGUGGGGUAAAGGCCCACCAAGGCGACGAUCUGUAGCUGGUCUGAGAGGACGACCAGCCACACUGGAACUGAGACACGGUCCAGACUCCUACGGGAGGCAGCAGUGGGGAAUUUUGGACAAUGGGCGCAAGCCUGAUCCAGCAAUGCCGCGUGCAGGAUGAGGGCCUUCGGGUUGUAAACUGCUUUUGUACGGAACGAAACGGUGAGCUCUAAUAAAGUUUGCUAAUGACGGUACCGUAAGAAUAAGCACCGGCUAACUACGUGCCAGCAGCCGCGGUAAUACGUAGGGUGCGAGCGUUAAUCGGAAUUACUGGGCGUAAAGCGUGCGCAGGCGGUUAUGUAAGACAGAUGUGAAAUCCCCGGGCUCAACCUGGGACCUGCAUUUGUGACUG